AAGAGAUAUGACAUCAGCUUUAACCUAAUUGUUUCCAAUUUGGUGCUCCCCUGUUAUCCAUUGCUCGAAACAAAUAGCGGCUAGGGUUUUUCUUCUUCUUUUGUUAUAAAUCCUUUCUCAUAGAGUCCCCUUUCCAUGAAGUUCCCAAUCUUUUCCACUCUACUCCUGUUUUCCUUUCUAAGCAGAUGGAGAUCUGAAUUUGUCAUUCUUUAAGCGUCUCUUGUCGUGAAGGUUGAGUGCUUCCUUGAUCUAAUUCAGAUAAAUCACGUUAGGAUUUUUCUAUUAUAGUUCGAGAAAGCAUUCAAAUUCACGACAAGUGACCACACAAGAAUAUGUCAAUCGAAUUACUUACGCCACUUUCAUGAGGGGUUGUCAACAUAGCCAGAUCACAGUCUAUUCAAAGGUAGAGUUGCAGACGACGGUUAGUAUUCUGAAAUGGUUUUCAAAGGAAUUUUUCAUAAUCUUUUGAUCUAUAAUACUCUAGUUUAUGGCUUUUUCAUUGCUGAUAAUUUACUAAAAGCUAUUGGUUUUGUAAAUGAAAUGAUAUUGAAUCGUCACGGACCGACAAAGUUCCGGCAGGGGACUUAAUGUCGGAUCUGGUGUGAAUAGCAUGUCGAUAGCCGGAAUGUUAUCGAUCCGGAAGGUUAAUCUUAAUUUGGGAUUGGGCUUUCACUGAUCCAUCCGUACAGCAACUAUCCCUAUUCGGAGAGGAAGAAAGGGAACAGAGGUUAACUUUUCUGAUAGGACUUGUACUUUUUAAUCUCUUUGCUAGAUUUGGCUGUCAUAUGAUGUUUCAACAUAUUUCUAAACUUUAUAUUUUAGAAAUUGUUUCAAAUUUUAAACUUUAAGAAAUUGGUCGGAUUUCAGUGAUGUAGUUUACUUGAUUAUAAAUAUUAUAAUAAUCUAAUUUGAUUAUUUCUAUUUCUUGAAUAUAGGAGGAAUAAAGUUGCUUCCUUUCCUUGCAUAAUAUAUUCAUGAUUUUGAUCUAACUUUCUAAUGUUCCUCCUUUUGCAAAAGAAAGAGAGAAUAGUUGUAGUAUCAAUCACCUUAAUUCUUCUUUUAUAGCAUUGGAUCUUGUUUUUUAUGUUUUAAAGAUGUCAAAUUGAUGUAUAUUGUCUAUAUUCUCAUCUUUAAGGCUGUGUUCAUUUCUGCGGAAAAUAGUGUUCAUGCGAUUUUAAGAACGAUGAAUUGAAAUGUUAACCGUGUUCGUUUAUGUUAAUUGUCGAACAAAUGAAAGCGAGUAAAAGCGGGAUUAUGAGAAAUCUCAUAUAUGUCCAUAUUACACUCAUGUUGUCAGAAUUCAUAAUUUCCUGUGAAACAAAGUUUCCAUAUAAUAUAAUGUGAUUUUCAUCUUUUAUAAUAAUAAUAAUUAUAAUAAUAAUUAUAAUAAUAAUAAUAAUAAUAAUUAUAAUAAUAAUAAUAAUAAUAACUAGGGGUAUUUUGGUAAUCUUUAAUUUAUAUCAAUUAAACAAAUUUUUUAAAACUGUCACAUCAAUCAAAUCCACUCUCAAUUACAUUCAAAUCCAUUCAAGUAAACACAAAAAAAAUUACCCUCAAAUCCUCUCAAAUCCAUUCAAUCACUCUCCCCCAAAUCAUCUCCCUCACUCAAGUGAACACACCCUAAUGGAAAUGUAAAAUAUUUUUCAUAAGUCUUUAAAGUUAUUGUUUUGAUUUGAAUUAAAUAUAGUUUUAGUUAAUGAAAUUUUAUAUGAAAUUGAAAUUUCUUUAUAUUUUAAAUUUUGAUAGUUUAUUAUUCAAACUUGAAAAAUGAAAAUAUAUACUUUUUCUAAUUGAAAUCAGUUAAAUUUUUUGACUUGUCAACUACUUUGUUUUUUUGGUUGUUUUAUCGUUUUAUUGUUUUGCUUGAUUAAGAAGAAGUUUAAAUAAAUUAACGUGAUUAGAUUGAAAUAUGUACAUAUUCAUUUUCAAAAGUUAGGUAUAAAAAUGUAUUAAAAUUUGGAAUAAAUCAAUUUUGUAUCGAAGUUAACAAACAAAAAAUAUUUAUCCUAUUUUCAUUUUCUAUAUAUAUGUUAAUCCCAUUUGGAAUAUUAAUAGCUAAAUAUUUAAUUAAAUUUAGAUUCAAUGUAUUAUAUUGAUAUCAAAAUGUAAUGUUGAUAAUAAUGAGUUGAAUAUUUAAAUAACUCAAAUAAAAUAAAAUUACUUGAAAUAAUUAAUUUAUAGACUUAUAAAUGUUCGAUUAAUCAAGACUUACUGUUAUUUAGUGGUUAUAAUUAUCACCUGAACACGAGAUAAAUAUUAUAACUGUGAAAUAAUUUACAUAACAAUUCCUCCAAUCUUUUUAAUGACUAAAUUUUGUAGUUAUUCUAUGAAUAUGCUAAUGAAAUAUUGAUUUUUAUUAUUAUAUAAAUAAUUAUUUAUGAAAUUAAAAAUAUUAAAUACAUUUCGUAAUUCAAAUUAGAAUCAUUAAAUAAAAUGAGACGAAUUCAGUAUUACUCUGUUAUUAUGAAUUUAUUAAUUAAAUCCUUAUUUUAUAAAUCAAAGAUAAUUUUUAUAUGAUCUUUUCUUUAACAUCAUUAAAGAAAAAGUUAUGAUAAAAGAUGUAUAUUAUUAUUUUUUAAUAGUACUAUUAUGAUUAUUAAUUAUACUAUUAUUUCAUUAUCAAAAUAUAAAUUUGUUUAUAUUAUUAUUAAUUGUAAUAUUUAAUCUUAUUAAUUUUUUGUAUUAUUGUUAUAUCAUAUAUAGACUUUUUCUAUUUUAUCUAUCUAUAUAUACAAGGAAGGAAAAUUUAAAAGGGAAAAAAUAUGACAUCAGAUUUGACCUAAUUUUUUGGGUACACCUCUGUUAUCCAUUGCUGGAAACAGAUAGCGGCUAGGGUUUGUCUCUGUUGUUGCAUUCUAUUUUCUUCUUCUGUGGAAAAUCCUUUCAAACUGAGUCCCCUUUCCAUUAUGCUCACAAUCUUCUCCACGCUACUUCUAUGUUCCUGGAGAUGAAGGGAAUUAGCCCUGCAUUUGUCAUUCUUAAAGCAUCACUUUGUCAUGAAGGUUGAGUGCUUUCUUGACCUAAUUCAGAUAAAUCACGUUAGGAUUUUUGUAUUACUUCAAGAAAGCAUUCAACAUUCAUGAGAAGUGAUUCCAGAAGGAUAUAUAUAUCAACCGAAUUGCUUACGCUACUUUCAUAAAGGGUUGUCAACAAAGCCUGAUCACACUCUAGUCAAAGGUAGAGUUGCAAAGGAGGGUUAUGGUUUGUAUUCUGAAAUUAUUUCUAAGAGAAUUUUUCAUAACCUUUUGAUCUAUGAUACUCUACUUUAUGGCUUUUUCAUUGCUGAUAAUUUACAGGAAAUGCAGAGGAGUAUGGUUUCAGAGAUAGUGAUGCAUAAUUGAAAUCAACAACCAGAUAGCUGAUCUGUAUGGUAGUAAUGUUUUUAAUGUAUUGCUGUGUUUUACAUCUAUUACCAUAGAACUUGUUGUAGGUUAAAUGACAAGAUCUAUGUUAUUUUUCGCUCUGCAUAAUUGUUUGGGAUGGUGAUAACUUUUUUGACAACGGGACAUGUGUCAUCAUUUUAUUGGUCUAUUUGAAUUUACAUUUGAAAAAUAUUUAAAAUGAAUCAAUCAUAAACUAUAACAUAUGCAUUAUAAAAAAGUGUUGUUAAAAGAAGUUUUUCCAAUUGUUUGUGUUACUUCAAGUACUUGGUUUAUGUUUUUAACGUAGUUUCCACUUUUUUUCAAACCACAGUUUCAAAAGUAGAGAGAUAGCUACAAGAACAAAGAUAUUGAAAUAUAUUUGGAGCAUGGAAACUACAACUAAUCAUUAACAUCACAUUCAAAUGGAAGAGGAUGCAUAUAUAACUUUGCAAAAUGUUUCUUUAACCAUUUUUUUGCCAUUAAAUUUUUC
This 3852-nucleotide long non-coding RNA is filed under the name Vigna radiata. RNAcentral's name for it is "long non-coding RNA (VRAD_LNC000231)". Lineage: Eukaryota; Viridiplantae; Streptophyta; Magnoliopsida; Fabales; Fabaceae. The record is from RNAcentral.